This 317-nucleotide ribosomal RNA is filed under the name uncultured bacterium. Its description in RNAcentral is "bacterial SSU rRNA". It matches the Rfam family "Bacterial small subunit ribosomal RNA", at positions 28 to 334 of the family's 1533-position model. The record is from RNAcentral.
GAUGAACGCUGGCGGCGUGCCUAAUACAUGCAAGUCGAGCGAACGGACGAGAAGCUUGCUUCUCUGAUGUUAGCGGCGGACGGGUGAGUAACACGUGGAUAACCUACCUAUAAGACUGGGAUAACUUCGGGAAACCGGAGCUAAUACCGGAUAACACCUCGGAUCGCAUGAUCCGAAGUUGAAAGAUGGUUCUGCUAUCACUUACAGAUGGACCCGCGGCGCAUUAGCUAGUUGGUGAGGUAGUGGCUCACCAAGGCAACGAUGCGUAGCCGACCUGAGAGGGUGAUCGGCCACACUGGGACUGAGACACGGCCCAG